This 339-nucleotide unclassified non-coding RNA is filed under the name soil metagenome. RNAcentral's name for it is "partial contains 5.8S ribosomal RNA, internal transcribed spacer 2, and large subunit ribosomal RNA". The stretch from base 1 to 120 matches the Rfam family "5.8S ribosomal RNA", at positions 35 to 154 of the family's 154-position model. The record is from RNAcentral.
GAUAAAGAACGUAGCGAAAUGCGAUACGUAGUGUGAAUUGCAGAAUUCAGUGAAUCAUCGAAUCUUUGAACGCACAUUGCACCUCUCGGUAUUCCGGGAGGUAUGCCUGUUCGAGCGUCAUUUGUACCCUCAAGCUCUGCUUGGUGUUGGGUGUUUGUUCCGCCUCUGUGUGUGAACUCGCCUCAAAACAAUUGGCAGCCGGCGUACUUGUUUCGGAGCGCAGCACAUUUUGCGAUCCAGAUCAACGUACAGCGGCAUCCAAGAAGCCUUAUUUAACGCUCUUGACCUCGGAUCAGGUAGGGAUACCCGCUGAACUUAAGCAUAUCAAUAAGCGGAGGA